AUUCCCCCCUAAAUUUGAAAAAAUUGCCAUGAGCAAUAGUUGAAAGAAAAAAGGGUUCCGUAUUGAAUUGAAAAGUGUGCGGAUUAUCUAUAUUUCAUUGCAGUGUGAAACAAAAGAAUCGACGAUAGGACACGACUUUUUCA
Caenorhabditis elegans is the source of this 143-nucleotide non-coding RNA. The record is from Ensembl. NCBI's taxonomy places the organism in Eukaryota, Metazoa, Nematoda, Chromadorea, Rhabditida, Rhabditidae.